Molecule: ribosomal RNA, 253 nt
Filed under: uncultured bacterium
Lineage: Bacteria
Description: partial 16S ribosomal RNA
Rfam family: Bacterial small subunit ribosomal RNA
Source: RNAcentral
UACGGAGGGGACUAGCGUUGUUCGGAAUUACUGGGCGCAAAGCGCACGUAGGCGGAUUUGUAAGUCAGGGGUGAAAUCCCGGGGCUCAACCUCGGAACUGCCUUUGAUACUGCAAAUCUCGAGUCCGGAAGAGGUGAGUGGAAUUCCUAGUGUAGAGGUGAAAUUCGUAGAUAUUAGGAAGAACACCAGUGGCGAAGGCGGCUCACUGGCCCGGUACUGACGCUGAGGCGCGAAAGCGUGGGGAGCAAACAGG